This 102-nucleotide microRNA precursor is filed under the name Marmota monax (woodchuck). The record is from RNAcentral. Lineage: Eukaryota; Metazoa; Chordata; Mammalia; Rodentia; Sciuridae.
ACAAGCAUUACACAGGGGAUCUUUGUAAAAUCAGACUCUGAUUGAGUCUGACUGAGGGGAGGCCAAGAGUCUGCAUUCUAUCAGGCUUCAGAUGAUGCAGCU